AAAAGGAAAAAAAAAUACAGAAAAAAUAAGAAAAAAAAAUUGUUUUGUGAAUAAUGGAGUCAAGAAGAGGAUUGAAUUAGAGGUUUUGGGUGUGUUUGAAUGUGUUUACACUUGUUCCCCAUUGCUCCUCUAUUUCUUUUGGUUUAUAGCUUCUCAUCCAUAUGUUAUCUUCCCUUGUCCUUGACCCCAUUACAUCCAUAAAAGACCUUUUGAUUUGAACAUGCAUAUGUUUUUGAGUG
Molecule: long non-coding RNA, 239 nt
Filed under: Vigna radiata
Lineage: Eukaryota; Viridiplantae; Streptophyta; Magnoliopsida; Fabales; Fabaceae
Description: long non-coding RNA (VRAD_LNC013010)
Source: RNAcentral